AUUGAACGCUGGCGGCAGGCCUAACACAUGCAAGUCGAAUGGUAACAGGAAACAGCUUGCUGUUUCGCUGACGAGUGGCGGACGGGUGAGUAAUGUCUGGGAAACUGCCUGAUGGAGGGGAUAACUACUGGAAACGGUAGCUAAUACCGCAUAACGUCGCAAGACCAAAGAGGGGGACCUUCGGGCCUCUUGCCAUCAGAUGUGCCCAGAUGGGAUUAGCUAGUAGGUGGGGUAACGGCUCACCUAGGCGACGAUCCCUAGCUGGUCUGAGAGGAUGACCAGCCACACUGGAACUGAGACACGGUCCAGACUCCUACGGGAGGCAGCAGUGGGGAAUAUUGCACAAUGGGCGCAAGCCUGAUGCAGCCAUGCCGCGUGUAUGAAGAAGGCCUUCGGGUUGUAAAGUACUUUCAGCGGGGAGGAAGGGAGUAAAGUUAAUACCUUUGCUCAUUGACGUUACCCGCAGAAGAAGCACCGGCUAACUCCGUG
RNAcentral lists this ribosomal RNA (489 nucleotides) under uncultured bacterium. RNAcentral describes it as "partial 16S ribosomal RNA". It matches the Rfam family "Bacterial small subunit ribosomal RNA", at positions 30 to 507 of the family's 1533-position model. The record is from RNAcentral.